AUUGAACGCUGGCGGCAUGCCUUACACAUGCAAGUCGAACGGCAGGAGGGGAGCAAUCCUGGUGGCGAGUGGCGAACGGGUGAGUAAAGUAUCGGAACGUGCCCAGUCGUGGGGGAUAACGUAGCGAAAGUUACGCUAAUACCGCAUACGAUCUAUGGAUGAAAGCGGGGGAUCGCAAGACCUCGCGCGAUUGGAGCGGCCGAUAUCAGAUUAGGUAGUUGGUGGGGUAAAGGCUCACCAAGCCGACGAUCUGUAGCUGGUCUGAGAGGACGACCAGCCACACUGGGACUGAGACACGGCCCAGACUCCUACGGGAGGCAGCAGUGGGGAAUUUUGGACAAUGGGCGAAAGCCUGAUCCAGCCAUGCCGCGUGCAGGAUGAAGGCCUUCGGGUUGUAAACUGCUUUUGUACGGAACGAAAAGGUUUGGGCUAAUAAGCUGAGCUCAUGACGGUACCGUAAGAAUAAGCACCGGCUAACUACGUGUCAGCCGCCGCGGUAA
RNAcentral lists this ribosomal RNA (500 nucleotides) under uncultured bacterium. RNAcentral's name for it is "partial 16S ribosomal RNA". It matches the Rfam family "Bacterial small subunit ribosomal RNA", at positions 30 to 523 of the family's 1533-position model. The record is from RNAcentral.